RNAcentral lists this ribosomal RNA (1527 nucleotides) under Lactobacillus sp. IV-136. RNAcentral describes it as "partial 16S rRNA". It matches the Rfam family "Bacterial small subunit ribosomal RNA". Lineage: Bacteria; Bacillati; Bacillota; Bacilli; Lactobacillales; Lactobacillaceae. The record is from RNAcentral.
GAGUUUGAUCCUGGCUCAGGACGAACGCUGGCGGCGUGCCUAAUACAUGCAAGUCGAACGAACUCUGGUAUUGAUUGGUGCUUGCAUCAUGAUUUACAUUUGAGUGAGUGGCGAACUGGUGACUAACACGUGGGAAACCUGCCCAGAAGCGGGGGAUAACACCUGGAAACAGAUGCUAAUACCGCAUAACAACUUGGACCGCAUGGUCCGAGYUUGAAAGAUGGCUUCGGCUAUCACUUUUGGAUGGUCCCGCGGCGUAUUAGCUAGAUGGUGGGGUAACGGCUCACCAUGGCAAUGAUACGUAGCCGACCUGAGAGGGUAAUCGGCCACAUUGGGACUGAGACACGGCCCAAACUCCUACGGGAGGCAGCAGUAGGGAAUCUUCCACAAUGGACGAAAGUCUGAUGGAGCAACGCCGCGUGAGUGAAGAAGGGUUUCGGCUCGUAAAACUCUGUUGUUAAAGAAGAACAUAUCUGAGAGUAACUGUUCAGGUAUUGACGGUAUUUAACCAGAAAGCCACGGCUAACUACGUGCCAGCAGCCGCGGUAAUACGUAGGUGGCAAGCGUUGUCCGGAUUUAUUGGGCGUAAAGCGAGCGCAGGCGGUUUUUUAAGUCUGAUGUGAAAGCCUUCGGCUCAACCGAAGAAGUGCAUCGGAAACUGGGAAACUUGAGUGCAGAAGAGGACAGUGGAACUCCAUGUGUAGCGGUGAAAUGCGUAGAUAUAUGGAAGAACACCAGUGGCGAAGGCGGCUGUCUGGUCUGUAACUGACGCUGAGGCUCGAAAGUAUGGGUAGCAAACAGGAUUAGAUACCCUGGUAGUCCAUACCGUAAACGAUGAAUGCUAAGUGUUGGAGGGUUUCCGCCCUUCAGUGCUGCAGCUAACGCAUUAAGCAUUCCGCCUGGGGAGUACGGCCGCAAGGCUGAAACUCAAAGGAAUUGACGGGGGCCCGCACAAGCGGUGGAGCAUGUGGUUUAAUUCGAAGCUACGCGAAGAACCUUACCAGGUCUUGACAUACUAUGCAAAUCUAAGAGAUUAGACGUUCCCUUCGGGGACAUGGAUACAGGUGGUGCAUGGUUGUCGUCAGCUCGUGUCGUGAGAUGUUGGGUUAAGUCCCGCAACGAGCGCAACCCUUAUUAUCAGUUGCCAGCAUUAAGUUGGGCACUCUGGUGAGACUGCCGGUGACAAACCGGAGGAAGGUGGGGAUGACGUCAAAUCAUCAUGCCCCUUAUGACCUGGGCUACACACGUGCUACAAUGGAUGGUACAACGAGUUGCGAACUCGCGAGAGUAAGCUAAUCUCUUAAAGCCAUUCUCAGUUCGGAUUGUAGGCUGCAACUCGCCUACAUGAAGUCGGAAUCGCUAGUAAUCGCGGAUCAGCAUGCCGCGGUGAAUACGUUCCCGGGCCUUGUACACACCGCCCGUCACACCAUGAGAGUUUGUAACACCCAAAGUCGGUGGGGUAACCUUUUAGGAACCAGCCGCCUAAGGUGGGACAGAUGAUUAGGGUGAAGUCGUAACAAGGUAGCC